CGCUGGCGGCAUGCCUUACACAUGCAAGUCGAACGGCAGCACGGGGGCAACCCUGGUGGCGAGUGGCGAACGGGUGAGUAAUAUAUCGGAACGUGCCAAGUAGUGGGGGAUAACUAGUCGAAAGAUUAGCUAAUACCGCAUACGCUCUACGGAGGAAAGUGGGGGAUCGCAAGACCUCAUGCUAUUUGAGCGGCCGAUAUCUGAUUAGCUAGUUGGUGGGGUAAAAGCCUACCAAGGCGACGAUCAGUAGCUGGUCUGAGAGGACGACCAGCCACACUGGGACUGAGACACGGCCCAGACUCCUACGGGAGGCAGCAGUGGGGAAUUUUGGACAAUGGGGGCAACCCUGAUCCAGCAAUGCCGCGUGAGUGAAGAAGGCCUUCGGGUUGUAAAGCUCUUUUGUCAGGGAAGAAACGCGCCAAGCUAAUACCUCGGCGUAAUGACGGUACCUGAAGAAUAAGCACCGGCUAACUACGUGCCAGCAG
RNAcentral lists this ribosomal RNA (485 nucleotides) under bacterium gwi65. Its description in RNAcentral is "bacterial SSU rRNA". It matches the Rfam family "Bacterial small subunit ribosomal RNA", at positions 34 to 514 of the family's 1533-position model. The record is from RNAcentral.